ACGCACUUUCCCCGCCCCCGUCGCCAUUUUGCGCAGAGAGCGCCGGCUCCCGUCCCGCUAUUUUCUUACAGAAUUUUCCCGCCUUGCAGCUCGCUUGCCGGGGAAUACUCACCGGAUCCCUCCCUCACAGAGGCCUCGGAGCUCGGAGCUAGCGGGGGCGGCUGCUAUCGGCUGGCGUGCCUCGGAUGGCUGCGGAUUGUGUUUGGUGACAGCUCCCGGAGACCAGAGAGGAGGAGCCGCCGCCGCUCAGUGAGAAGUUAAACUGCAGUGAGUGUGACUGGCCUGGCGCUCUGGACUGGAGACUGGACGGCCUGGCUCAGAAUGAGGCAGCAUCCCAGCAUGCACUUAAUCAAGCCACAAGCUCUACGGCCUCACAGGACAACAGCCAGAGAGUGGAGUCACCUGCAAGUAUUGCUAUGCAGCCCUGUCCUGCCCGACACCAGCUGCAGGCAUCAGACAAAAUGACGGGCAGUAACCCUGUGUCUCCUGGCUCCAGUGCAGAGCUGUCCCCCUUUGACCUCUCUGGUGAAAUGGGGGACACAGCUUGUGGCUCCCCCACUUAUGAUGGGAUGGAUGGUUCCCAACAGGAUAACAGUGGGGGGCAAAAAUGGGACAGUCAACCAGAGAUUGCUGAACAAGCCAAACAUGAAGCAGAAAUUGAGAACCGAAUUGCCGAGCUGCGCAAGGAGGGGUUUUGGACUCCACGUCGUCUUUCCAAGGUUCCUGAGCCAACCCGUCCCAAAGUGCAGUGGGAUUACCUGUGCGAAGAGAUGCAGUGGCUUUCUGCAGACUUUGCACAAGAACGCCGCUGGAAAAGGGGGGUUGCUAGAAAGCUGGUACGGAUGGUUGUUCGUCACCACGAGGAGCUGAAGCAGAAAGAGGAAAGGGCACGCCGGGAAGAGCAGGCCAAGCUUAGGCGUAUUGCCACCACCAUUGCAAAGGAGGUGCGCCAGUUCUGGAGUAACGUCGAAAAGGUUGUUCAGUUUAAGCAACAGUCUCGGCUAGAGGAGAAGCGGAAAAAGGCCCUUGACCUGCAACUGGAUUUCAUUGUGGGUCAGACGGAAAAAUAUUCAGACCUCCUCAGCCAGAGUUUAAAUGAGACGUUGCUCCCUGUCAGCAAGUCGAGCUCCUCCUGCAUUGGAUCUUCCCAGGGAGGUUCUUUAAGGACCAGUCCCACUCCAUCUGUCUACCAAAAUUAUGAUGGGGAUUUCUUGCCUCAUGAUGAGGAAGAUGAUGAAGAGACCAUAGAAAUAGAGGAGCGUCAGGAUGGGAAUGAUGCUGAGAGCCAGAGGCUGGAGAUAGAGCUUUUGAAAAAGGAGAGUGAACUUCCUUUGGAGGAAUUGCUCCAGAGUUUAGGGCCCAAUUUUCUCCAAGAUGUGGAUCCAGAUCAGGACGUACAGGAUUCCCCUCAGUCGCCCAAAGUCUUUGAGGAGGAAGAUGACGAGUUCACUGCUAACGAGGAAGAAGGUGAAGAUGAGGAGGAGACAAUUGAAGCAGAAGAAGCGCUAGAGGGCCAGCAGGAUCAUGCAGAGGAACUGUCUGAGCUUGCCAAAGAAGGAGAGAUGUCUUUAGAGGAACUCCUGCAAAAGUACUCAGGGGUACAGACCAAUGAGGAGAAUGUUGAUCCAAGUGAAGAAAGCCAGCUAUCUGACCAAUCAUCUGACUCUUCUCAAUGUGAGAAUUCUGACUCUGAUUCCGAAGGGGUUGAAUUUCUUGUGAAGCCAGAGGACAGCUCCAAUACAGAUUCAUUGCUUCAGGAGAUACCUGAACCUAAAAAAGAAAUAACUGAUAUUGCAGCAACAGCUGAGUCUUUUCAACCCAAAGGGUAUACACUUGCAACUACUCAGGUGAAGACACCAGUUCCCUUCCUCCUUCGAGGAGAGCUAAGGGAGUACCAGCACAUUGGGCUCGAGUGGCUAGUUACCAUGUAUGAAAAAAAACUAAAUGGAAUCCUGGCAGAUGAAAUGGGUCUCGGAAAAACCAUUCAGACAAUAUCCUUGCUGGCUCACCUAGCAUGUGAUAAAGGUAACUGGGGACCUCAUCUGAUCAUUGUGCCAACAAGUGUUAUCCUUAACUGGGAAAUGGAAUUCAAACGGUGGUGUCCCAGCUUUAAGAUUCUCACCUAUUAUGGGUCCCAAAAAGAACGCAAGCUUAAGAGACAGGGCUGGACAAAAUUCAACGCUUUCCACGUGUGCAUCACAUCUUAUCAGUUGGUGCUACAAGAUCACCAGGCCUUCCGCAGAAAAAACUGGAUAUACCUCAUCCUGGAUGAGGCUCAGAACAUCAAGAAUUUCAAGUCGCAGCGUUGGCAGAGCCUGCUGAAUUUUAACAGUCAGAGGCGACUGCUGCUCACUGGGACUCCACUGCAGAAUUCUCUCAUGGAGCUUUGGUCACUCAUGCACUUCCUGAUGCCUCACGUCUUCCAGUCUCACCGUGAGUUUAAGGAAUGGUUCUCAAACCCCUUGACUGGCAUGAUUGAGGGCAGCCAGGAGUACAAUGAGGGCCUGGUGCGCAGGCUGCACAAGGUAUUGCGCCCAUUCCUAUUGCGUAGGAUUAAACUUGAUGUGGAGAAACAGAUGCCUAAAAAGUACGAGCAUGUCAUCUACUGUCGUUUAUCCAAGCGCCAACGGUUUCUGUACGAUGAUUUCAUGUCACAAGCAGCGACAAAGGAAACACUGGCUAGUGGGCAUUUCAUGAGUGUGAUCAACAUCCUAAUGCAACUGCGCAAAGUAUGCAACCAUCCCAACUUGUUUGAUCCACGCCCAAUCCACUCUCCUUUUAUUACAAGCACCAUUUGCUACAUUGUACCUUCCCUGGUUCUGCAAGCUCUGCAUCGUCACCCGCUCCAGCACGUGGACAUGUCCAUGUUCGACCUGAUUAACAUGGAAGGACGGGUCUGCCGAUAUGGGAGUGAAGUCGCUCUGCCACAGUAUAAACCCCCUCGUGCUCUAAUCCAAGAGAUUGCAGAUUCUCCUGAACCCCCUCCACGACUCCGCCCUCUUCGUAUGAAGGUUAACAGGAUGGUUCAGCCUGUUCCUAAAACGGACCCAAGGAGCGUCGUCAUUGUGAAUAGUUCUCGGCAAAUGCAGAAACCUUUGGAUCUGCCCCCCUGUACUGCUAACCCUCCUUUGCCUUCUGCUCCGCACACAACACCUGCUCCCAGCUCCUCGUCUUCAUCAACAGGAGCUGUAGAACCGUCUAUGCCAGCACCACCGGCUCAGGCAACCCCUCCAUUGGUUCAGGUACCUGCAGGGCCAGUGCCUGCCAUUGCUCCUGGUACAAUAAGGCCACCGUCUGUUCAGAGUUCCCCGUCUGGAAUUGGUGCCCAACAAAGGUUAAUCCUAACGCCCGACAUGCAGGCCAGGCUACCUUCAGGGGAAGUUAUUAGCCUGUCUCAGCUCGCGUCAGUGAGUUCACGUCCCCUGCAAGCUCCGGCGGUCACUAAACCUGUAACUCUGCAGCUGCAAGGUGCCAAGCUCACCUUGAGUGGUGCCCAAGUUCGACAGUUGGGUAUGGGUCAGCCCCGCCCACUGCAAGGAAAUGUCCUUCAUUUGGUGUCUUCUGGUGGGCAGCACCACUUGCUAAGCCAGCCCGCCCAGCUUGCUCUCAUCCAGGCUUUGGCGCAGCAAACCGCAGCCCCUGCUCCCUCUGCUUCUCCACAGUUUGUGCAGGGAGCAGGUACCGCUCAGCUUGGGGUUCAGACGGUCUCCCUGCAAUCUCUUCCUCAUUCUCUAAUCACAGGUGCCAACCUUCCUGUACCCCCUCCGCCUGGCACUCCCUCUGGGCAGGGUGUAGUAAAAAUUGUGGUUAGGCAAGCGACCCGCGAUGUUUCUGCAACUGCACCUCGUCUGGCCCAACCUGGGCGCUUGCCACAAACCCCGUCUCACCCUUUCCUGAGGGUUUUACCUGGGGCAGUCCCCGAGCCUGCGGGUGCAAGAGUAGGUUCUGGGGAGAAAGCAGCGUCUGUGGUUGCAUCUUCUCCUCUCACACUCGCCACCAGCCCCCUGCUGAUGGUCUCCAGUCCUGCAGUGGCUUCAAGACUUCAAUCCCCAGUUCCAACCCCUCUGCCACCUAUCCAUAACCAUUCAAUGCCCCCCAAUGCAGAGAGUUCUGUCACCCCUGUUGCUCCCCAAGGUGUGCCGGGCGUGGCCCUUCGCCUACUGGCCACAGGGACCUCUGCUGCACUUCAGCUUACAAACCAUCGCUCUUCCCCACCAAGACACACGCAGAGCCCUGCGUUACCAAACUGUCCUCUACAAAACACUCUCCUCCCACCCAGUUCCCCUUGUCAAGCAGUAAUGCCAGAUUCUAACCUGUGUCCGGUCUUACAGAAAAUUCCAAACGCUGAUACAAACUCUGCCUUGGGAAUAGUCUCUAAUGAUGUUCAGGCUGCACAAUCUGUUGCUAAUGGAAAUGUGAUUGGCUCCAGCACAGUGGUCCUUCCCCAAAGUCCUGUAGCGAGAGAACCUUUGGAUUCUGCUGCUUCCCAGACACCACCUCCCUUACUGCCUACUCUCUGCAUGCCUGGCACAAGCUCGGAUCCUGGGUUCUGUGUCAGCCCACUGCUUAACAACAUGGCUCAUAACCCUCCUUCCCCACCUGUACUGUCCAAUCUCAAUCAUAAUAUUAAUACUCCUAAAUUGGUACCUCCGACAUACAACUUCAGCUUGGUUCCUGCACUUCUUACCAAUUCUGUCUCCUCCACUGCUUCCAACUUUAACCCUGUGCCUGCACGUUUCAUAAGUAGCCCAGUCUCUCUCCUGGCAUUGUCCCCACUGACCUCUGCAAAUAGCAGUGCAACGCCUAUCCUGUACCCUCAUCCCACUGCUAGUCCUGCACCCUCUUCGUUUGUCCCGCAGGUACCAGCCAAUCCAUCUCCAGUUUCAGCUUCAAACACUCUUCCUGCUCCCUCCAUAUCUACUAAUACUACUUUGUCUUUGUCCUCUCAUACCGCUAAUGCUACUGCUCAGUUGCCCAUGCUAAAUGCAUCUGUAUCCAUCCCCAUAUCAACAUUAUCCUCUAGUGUCCCUGUGCCUCUUUCUCCAUUGGUGGCUUCUGCCUCUGGCAAUCUUUCCUUGAUUGCUGCAACUUCUGUUCCUUCUCCUUUGUUUUCUCUUUCUUCCUCUGCUCCCUUGUCAUUGCCCCUAGCUUUUGCAAAUGCCCCCUUGCCUUCACUUGAGGCAUCUACUCAACUGCCUGCUCUGGCUGCUGCUGCUCAUUCCCAGGCUCCCUUGGCUGCCCCAGCUGCUGCUCCUACCCAGGCUCCUUUGGUUGCCCCUGUUGUUGCAGCUCAGGCUCCCUUGGCUGCCGCUCGUUGCCAGGCUCCCUUGGCUGCCACUCGUUGCCAGGCUGCCGCUCCCACCCAGGCUCCUUUGGCCACCCUGGCAGCUGCUCCCACCCAGGCUCCUUUGGCCACCCUGGCAGCCGCUCCUACCCAGGCUCCCUUGGCCCCCCUGGCAGCCGCUCCUACCCAGGCUCCCUUUGCCAUCCCGGCUGCCACUCCUACCAAGGCUCCGUUGGCAGCUGCUCCUACCCAGGCUCCCUUGGCCUCCCUAACUGCCGCUCCUACCCAGGCUCCCUUGGCCGCUCCAGCUGCCACUCCUACCCAGGCUCCCUUGGCUGCCACUCCUACCCCGGCUCCCUUGGCUGCCGCUCCUACCCAGGCUCCCUUGUCCACCCUGGCUGACGCUCCUACCCAGGCUCCCUUUACCGCCCCGGCUGCCACUCCUACCCUGGCUGCCGCUCCUACCCAGGCUCCCUUGGCCUCCCCAACUGCCGCUCCUACCCAGGCUCUCUUGGCCGCUCCAGCUGCCACUCCUACCUUGGCUGCCGCUCCUACCCAGGCUCCCUUGGCCGCCCUGCCUGCCGCUUCUACCCAGGCUCCCUUGGCCGCCCUGGCUGCCGCUCCUACCAAGGCUCCCUUGCCCGCCCCGGCUGCCGCUCCUACCAAGGCUCCCUUGCCCGCCCCGGCUGCCGCUCCUACCCAGGCUCCUUUGCCUGCCCCGGCUGCCCCUCCUACCCAGGCUCCUUUGCCUGCCCCGGCUGCCGCUCCUACGCAGGCUGCAUUGCCCGCCCCGGCUGCAGCUCCUACGCAGGCUGCAUUGCCCGCCCCGGCUGCAGCUCCUACCCAGGCUGCAUUGCCUGCCCCGGCUGCAGCUCCUACCCAGGCUGCAUUGCCCGCCCCGGCUGCAGCUCCUACCCAGGCUGCAUUGCCCGCCCCGGCUGCAGCUCCUACCCAGGCUGCAUUGCCCGCCCCGGCUGCAGCUCCUACCCAGGCUGCAUUGCCCGCCCCGGCUGCAGCUCCUACCCAGGCUGCAUUGCCCGCCCCGGCUGCAGCUCCUACCCAGGCUCCCUUGUUUGCCCCGGCUGCAGCUUCUACCCAGGCUCCCUUGUCUGCCCCGGCUGCAGCUCCUACCCAGGCUCCCUUGUCUGCCCCGGCUGCAGCUCCUACCCAGGCUCCCUUGUCUGCCCCGGCUGCAGCUCCUACCCAGGCUCCCUUGUCUGCCCCGGCUGCAGCUCCUACCCAGGCUCCCUUGUCUGCCCCGGCUGCAGCUCCUACCCAGGCUCCCUUGUCUGCCCCGGCUGCAGCUCCUACCCAGGCUCCCUUGUCUGCCCCGGCUGCAGCUCCUACCCAGGCUCCCUUGUCUGCCCCGGCUGCAGCUCCUACCCAGGCUCCCUUGUCUGCCCCGGCUGCUGCUCCUACCCAGGCUCCCUUGUCUGCCCCGGCUGCUGCUCCUACCCAGGCUCCCUUGUUCGCCCCGGCUGCCGCUUCUACCCAGGCUCUCCCAGUUGGUGCUGCCAAGGCCCUAUUGGCCCCUCCAGCUGUUUCCCAGACCCCUGUGCCUUUGGCUGCUCCAGCUCCUUCCCAGACCCCUCUGGCUGCCCUGACCCAGGCUUCCUUCACUCCUGCCCAAGCGUCCACAGCCCAGUCACCAGGUCUUUUAGCUAACCUGGUUCCAGAGCAGAUCUCUCUGGCUGUUAUGUCCCAGGUCCCAGUUUCUUUGGCCGCCCCUGCCCCUGGCCAGGCUUCUGUUACUUUAGCUCCUUUGGGAUCUGCCCAGGAUCCAGUUGCCGCCCAAGCCCAGGUUCCCAUUUCAUUAGCCGCUCCUGCUAAGGUUACUGUUGCUUCUCCAGCCCAGGUUGCAGUUCCACUUGCUGCUCCAGCUGCUGCCCAAGUCUCUUUGGCUGCACCAGCAGUUCUGCCUAACUCGGUCCAGGUCUCUGUUCCUCUGACCUCCCCUUCCCUGCCCCCCAGUCUUUUACCACUUUGUCCUUCACCAUCAUAUUCCUCUGGGCAAGUAAUGAAAACAUCUGCAUCUCUACCAUUGCUCACAACUGCAUCUGCUCCUGUGUCUCCAUUGGUAGCCUCAGCUUCCCUUUCAGUGGCAGCCUCUGCAUACCUUCCCACAGCCUCCGUAAGUUCCCCUGUCCCCUCAUUUGCAGCCUCUGUUCCUGCACUGGGAGCUUGUGCCCAGUUACCCUUGCCAUUAUCCUCUGCUCCUGCCCACAUGCCUUUGCUAGCUGCCUCGGCACCGACCCCUAUUCCAGCACUAGCCUCACGGGUCUCUGCGCCACUGCCCCCUUUGGCUGCUUAUGCCAGUGUUCCUCUGCCCACCUUGGCAGCCAGUGUAUCUGCUCCUCCUGCAUCUCUCUUGCCAUCCUUCCAGGCACCCCUGCCUUGUUCAUCCUCCGCUAUACCCACCACGCAGUCUCUUUCUGCCCCUACUGCAUACGUGCCCUCUAACUGUGUUUCUGCCUCUUCAGCUGCCUUCACUGCUAUCACCACUGCAUCUUUGUCUUUAGGCACCUCUGCUACAUCUUCUACCUCUUUGCCAGUUGUUACUUCCUGCGUUUCAGCUCCAGUGUCAUCACUAGUUUCCCCCCUUUCUGCUCCUUUAAGUCUAAGUGGUCCUUCACCUGUAACUGUCCCAGAGCCUCCUUUAUCCCUGUCAAUUGACGGCCCAUCAUCGGUGAGCGUGACUCUCAGCACUACUUCCGAUUCUGAUUUAAUGCUAGAUGGAGAUGCCCCCCGUCCAACAAAUCCCCCUCUGCUGUCCACCCCAAGACUACGCCGGCAGCUGCCUCCACUACCACGGUCACCUUUCUAUCUGGAGCCCCUGGAAAAUCGCCGUCGCAAACACAAAAUGGAAAGACUGGAUAGACUCUUCUGUCUGAAUGAAAGGCGCAGUAUGCUAACUCCCAUUUACGGCACCGAAGUCCUUCACUUCUGCACCCUACGCAAUACUGACUGCCACUUGGGCUUCCCUAACAACUCCCUCGGUCCCCACAACCUGCACAAUUACUGGCUACAAGCAGAUGCCUUGAGCAAGUGCAUUCUCACCCCAGAGCAGCGCCUCGGCCAACUUGACCCCGUCAUAGAAAGGUUUAUUGUCGCUAUGCCUCCCGUGGAGGCCCCACAGAUCACCCUGCACACUUCCCACCCACCACCAUCCAUGCUGCUUCAGGAGUCCAUUUUCAGGGAGUCAAUGCGUAGAGAAUUAACGCCUCAUUCCCGCUGUUUACACCGCAUUGUGUCCAACAUGAGGACCCAGUUCCCAGAUUUACGGCUCAUUCAGUAUGACUGUGGCAAGCUCCAAACACUCGAUCGUUUGCUGCGCCAGUUAAAGACCGGGGGACACCGGGUCCUUUUAUUUACACAGAUGACCCGAAUGUUGGAUGUUUUAGAGCAGUUUCUUAAUUACCACGGGCACAUUUACCUGCGACUCGACGGGUCAACGCGCGUUGAGCAAAGACAGGUUUUGAUGGAGCGUUUUAAUAUGGAUCGUCGGAUCUUCUGUUUCAUCCUGUCAACUCGCAGUGGGGGCGUUGGGAUCAAUCUGACAGGUGCUGAUACAGUCAUCUUCUAUGACAGCGACUGGAAUCCCACUAUGGAUGCCCAGGCCCAGGAUCGCUGUCACCGAAUCGGGCAGACCCGUGAUGUGCACAUAUACAGAUUGGUCAGCGAGCGCACUGUGGAGGAGAACAUCUUGAAGAAAGCUCAGCAGAAGCGCAUGUUGGGGGAUAUGGCUAUCGAGGGAGGAAAUUUCACUACAGCCUACUUCAAACAGCAAACAAUCCGAGAGCUGUUUGAUAUGGAAGAGGCCACACGGAAGGAGGCGGAGGCAGGCUCUGCAUCUCCUGAGCGCACAGCGGAUGAUGGGAGCACAACACAAAAUGCAAACAUUCUGGAACAGGCCCUCUGUAGAGCGGAGGAUGAGGAGGACACCUUAGCCGCCUCGCUGGUUCGUGCUGAGCAGGUUGCCGAUCUUGCAGAGUUUAAUGAGAAUGCUCCUUUGGAACCAGAGGAGGAAGAACAGAGUCGGGCCGAGCAAGAAAUAAACGCCUUGGUUGAGCAGCUGACUCCAAUUGAACGCUAUGCCAUGUAUUUUCUGGAAGCUUCGCUGGAAGACAUAAGUCGGGAGGAGCUGAAACAAGCUGAGGAGCAAGUAGAAGCUGCGCGGAAAGACCUUUUCCUGGCCAAAGAAGACAUUGGCCCUUGCCCGGACGACUCAUGGGAGGAAGAGGGUAGAAAGAUGCGCAAGGUCCGGGCCCCACCUUCCAGCAGACCACCAGGGGAAAGAGUAGGGGUCCGUAUGAGCGAGCGGUUGCGCGGAGCCAGAACGGCAGAUGGGGCAGACAUCACAGACAGCCCAGCCUUGCCCGAAACUUCAUCUCCUGACCAAGAAACCUUGGAAGACAGUGCACCAAUAAUCUCCCAGACAGAGACUGCAGUCCCAGACUUGAAUGAUUCUCCAAAUAAGCAGGAGGCCACCACCGCCAGCAGUCCAUCCCAGCAGCCAUGUCCUGUAUCCCCAUUACCGCCCACCGCUUCUCCCCCACCAGAGGCCUCUCCGCAGUUGUCAUGUUCUGUGAAGGAAGAGCAUACAGAACAGCCUGCCGAAUCGGACAGUGAAAGACAACUUGUGCCAAAACCUGACACCAUCAUGCACAGCACUCCCAGUGGUGCCAACCAGGAUAGGGAAAGCAGCACUCCCCGCACACCGCGCAGGAAAGUCACUGCCGACUGUGAAAUUCUUAUGGCUGCAGCGGGGGACACCUCCCCGACUGAAAAGGUCCUGAGGCGGCUACCUGGCCGUCUGGUCACCGUAGUGCAGGAGCGGCCGCCUGUUGCACGCCGCCAGAAUCGCCCAAAAGGUGACAAAGGUCCCCUGAGCCCUGGUGAUCCUCAAAAUAGCCCCCCUCCUUCUCUACAGUCAGAUGAUACAUCUGAGGCCGGCAGUCCCCCGCCAAAGAGAAAAAGGGGAAGACCACCAAAGCCAAAAAUAGAAUCGUCUCCAGCUCAGGCAGUGGCUACAGGAAGUUCCCUGUCGGAAGUGGCUUCUGAUUUGGAUGUUUCGCUGUUGGAAAAACAUGGCGACACAGGCCUUUCACCCCUGGGACCUAGUUCUGAACUGGCGCCAUCCACUAAGGCGGCCGUCGUAGCUGGCAGCCCCGUGCCGUGCACAAAAUUGAACUCUGAAAUUGAAAGUGCUCCCUCUGUUGAAAAGAGGAAAAGGGGACGGCCACCCAAAAAGAGAGAAGUGCUACCAACUUCUCCAGUUGCCUCUUUAUCUUCUGCCGAGCCCACACCGGAGCUGCUGUCUCCCACUGGCAGCGCAGGGGCAAGUCCCACCGCUGUUUCUCUCCAGUCCGACAGUAAGGACACGAGCGGAACGAAAUCCAACGUGCUCGAACCCACUCCUCAUCCCGUCAUUCCCAUGGCUUCUCCCAACAUUCCACAGGCGGGUGGGUGUGUUGAGGGGACGAGCAGCAGCGGUGGCGAUGGACCUUUAACCCCUCCCAAGCGGAAACGUGGCCGCCCCCCUAAGUCCCAGAGUACUCCAAAAGUGGUACAGAGUCCAAACUUGCACAAUGAUAAAAGGGACGGCUCUCCUGACAGAUACGCCAGCCCCCACCACACAAAGCUGCCUGUGGGGAGGAAGAAGAAACAAGCCUCGCCUUCGGCCAAGAAGGACGAGGAGCACACAGCUUCUGCCUAUACAGAUAACUCCUCAGACGAUGAGGGGGAAACUGUACGGACUCCUCUCACCCGCAGCGCCCAGACACGUUUGCAGUCCCCCCACGUAACCACUCCAAACCCAAAUUCUGCUGGGAAAUCCCUCAGAGGACGUUCACCCUGCUCUCCCCACCUCCAAGAUAGACCUGGCAAAAGGCGGAAAGCUCCCAAUAUAAACUCACCUAGUCCCCCUUCCUCGUCCCCCCAUGGCAGUUCUAGUGACAGACAGUCUGGCAGCGGCAGAAAGCGUCGCUGCCCACCUGCGGAACAACGCAUUUUGCGCAGCUCAAUCACAGCCCCUCCUGCCAGUAACACUCGCUCCUCCCGCCCCCCUCCCUCACUCCCCAACUCUCCCAGCAGCCACAGAGGCAGAAAAGCUAAGACGUGAGCGUUUCUCCCAGAACAUUUGGCUGUGUUUUACCCCAGGUGGGGAGCCUCCCCUUGCAAAGACUUGGAGGGUCAGGCGAGAGACUUCUAUCUGCCCGAGAGCACUAAAAAAAACAAAAAAAAAAACCUAAUGACUGCCCCAAAUGUGCUGCAACACAGAGUGACUGCCCGGAGAGUGUGCUCGGCACAGCUACCGCCCCAUUACUGAGACAUAACCGAAAUCUAUGCAAAGAGGCUCGAGAGGCCAAGAAGAGAAGCUGGAGUCAGAUUUGUUAUUAAGCGGUUUCACACGUUGAGUUAUCAGGGGGAGUUGCUGGGAUUCUGGGGGUGCUGAGCCCUGUAAGUAUUAGACAGACAGACAGCCCCACGUUUCUGGAGCUUUGUCUGUCUCAGGGCUCUAGGUCCUGGGCCUGUGGGCCCCCGGGGAAUGGAUGUUUGGGCAUGUUUCUACACAAGUCCCUGUACUUUAAUGAAAAUAAAGUGUUGAGUAAAAUGUG
This is a non-coding RNA of Xenopus tropicalis (tropical clawed frog), 11901 nucleotides long. The record is from RefSeq and is a predicted model, not a curated record. Lineage: Eukaryota; Metazoa; Chordata; Amphibia; Anura; Pipidae.